UAAAUGCAUAGCAGUCGGAAGAAGCCAAGACUGCCUCAUAUCACUAUUUUGAACCAUCAUUCCAGAAAAUCUUAUUUAAUACAACCAUCUCAUAUAGUCAAAAUUGGUAAAAAAAAAAUACUGGCAAAAUAUAGGAAAAAUUAUAAGGCAUUUUUCUAACAUUUAGUAUCAUUUGAUUUAAAGUUUAGGUUUAUGUUAAUGUUAAAAAGUAAAAAAAAGAAAUGUUUAAAAGAUACUCUAUAAUUAUUUGAGUGACUGGACAAAAUAAUUGCUUAAACCUUAGAAGACAGUGUAUAAGACUCAGAGAAAAUGCAUGGAGGAUUUGUUAUUUAGACAAAGUGUACUAUACUUAGUAAGCAUUUUAAAAUGUUUUCAAAUUCAGCAAUCAAUCGUUUUUCACUUCACCCAGGAGAGUGAGGAGGAAUCCACUGUCAUUCACAUAUGAAUAAAGAAGUUUCUGGAAACUGACAUGUGGAAGAAUCACACCUCCCUUCUCUUCUGAAAUUGAACAUGCCUGUAUGAUUUGUUAGGAUUGUGGAUGAUCAUCUCCCAUGCUCAGAUGCUCAGUCUCAGGCAGUGGUGUUUGGUAGAAAUAAGUGAUUUAUCAGAACGUUGGAAGGUACCCGCAACUGGCACUAGUGUAUUUUUUGUCAGUUCAAAGCACCUAUGGAAAGUCCUUUGCUUUUCCAUACAAGAGAAAGCUUAGGAAUACCUUGCUUCUUUCUAGAUCAGGCUGCCUGCAGAUAUAGACCCUUUCCUCUGCUGCCUUAUCCCCAGUUACAUUAAAUACAGUAUAUGACAAGAUUUUAUUAAUACUGUACUGUAGCCAAUAUCCGUGUGAGCAUACACAAUGGCCCCCAUGCAGGAAAAGAUUCCACUGGACCACUAGAUAGCAGUGAUUCUAUUAGUGUUAGUGAAAGUCAUCCUACACAAUAUCCCUUCUUUCUCUUGUCUCCCUCACGCCAGCCAUGAAGGUUUUCAAAGGUAAGUGCAGGUUAAUUUAUUUUUCUUUAUAUUUUACAUAUUCUUUAUUACUUUUAUUAUAUUACAGUACUGUAAUCAUGCUUAUAUGAAUAUCUUUGGGUUGUAGAAUGAAUCACCUGAGCUUCCGUGUUUUCUUAUGGGGAAAUUUGCUUUGAUACACAAGUGCUUUGCAUUACAAGCAUGUUUCCAGAACUAAUUAUGCUCACAAACCAAGGUUUUACUGCACAUCUGAAACGUGAUUUCACCAUUACAGACUUAUGGGAUUUUUAAAGUUGUUAAUGGUAUUCAUGUAUAUGUAUUUUGC
This is a long non-coding RNA of Acinonyx jubatus (cheetah), 1288 nucleotides long. RefSeq lists it as uncharacterized. The transcript has 3 exons. The record is from RefSeq and is a predicted model, not a curated record. NCBI's taxonomy places the organism in Eukaryota, Metazoa, Chordata, Mammalia, Carnivora, Felidae.